RNAcentral lists this ribosomal RNA (476 nucleotides) under uncultured Pseudomonadota bacterium. RNAcentral's name for it is "bacterial SSU rRNA". It matches the Rfam family "Bacterial small subunit ribosomal RNA", at positions 8 to 522 of the family's 1533-position model. The record is from RNAcentral. Lineage: Bacteria; Pseudomonadati; Pseudomonadota.
AGAGUUUGAUCCUGGCUCAGAACGAACGCUGGCGGCAGGCCUAACACAUGCAAGUCGAACGAGAAGCCACCUUCGGGUGGUGGACAGUGGCAGACGGGUGAGUAACGCGUGGGAACGUGCCUUUCGGUUCGGAAUAACCCAGGGAAACUUGGGCUAAUACCGGAUACGCCCUUCGGGGGAAAGAUUCAUUGCCGAAAGAUCGGCCCGCGUCGGAUUAGCUAGUUGGUGGGGUAAUGGCUCACCAAGGCGACGAUCCGUAGCUGGUCUGAGAGGAUGACCAGCCACACUGGGACUGAGACACGGCCCAGACUCCUACGGGAGGCAGCAGUGGGGAAUAUUGGACAAUGGGCGAAAGCCUGAUCCAGCCAUGCCGCGUGGGUGAAGAAGGCCUUAGGGUUGUAAACCCCUUUCAGCGGGGAAGAUAAUGACGGUACCCGCAGAAGAAGUCCGGCUACUCCGUGCCAGCAGCCGCGGUA